AUGAAAUGUCUUUUCCCACCAAUUA
RNAcentral lists this non-coding RNA (25 nucleotides) under Rattus norvegicus (Norway rat). Lineage: Eukaryota; Metazoa; Chordata; Mammalia; Rodentia; Muridae. The record is from RNAcentral.